GUGUUCCCUUUGGCAGCACUUAUACUAAACUUGGAAAGAUACAGAGAAGAUUAGCAUGGCCCUUUAGCAACAACAAAAUGCAAAUUUGUGAAGUGUUCUAUAUUUUU
This is a small nuclear RNA of Nycticebus coucang (slow loris), 107 nucleotides long. Lineage: Eukaryota; Metazoa; Chordata; Mammalia; Primates; Lorisidae. The record is from RefSeq and is a predicted model, not a curated record.